Long non-coding RNA from Bombus terrestris (buff-tailed bumblebee), 2225 nucleotides. RefSeq lists it as uncharacterized. The transcript is spliced from 4 exons. The record is from RefSeq and is a predicted model, not a curated record. NCBI's taxonomy places the organism in Eukaryota, Metazoa, Arthropoda, Insecta, Hymenoptera, Apidae.
AUGCUGAUCCAGAUGCUCACUCUUACAGUGUUACAAUGCAAUAGGAAGAAGUUAUGAUAGGGAGCACGUUCAUACAUUUAUAGCAAAGAACAUUACCAAAAAUGUUGACCUUGUAGCUCUAUCUGAAGGCUAUAGAGAUCUACUUAUAGCUCUUUUAUUUCUAAACCUUGUAAUCCAAAAGAAAAUUUAUAUUCAACAGCAGAAUAAUAUGGACUAUCUCCAAUUUUUUCUUUCACUAAAUUGUAUUUUCUCUGUAACAGCAAUCUUCAAGUCACCGGUAGACAAAAGAAAAGGUGUAGUUUUUCUUGAAGCGAUUACUCCAACAUAAGAUAGACUGAUAACUGCAAAGUGUCGAGCAGUGCUAAUAGAGGCCACAGAGGUGUCCUUAAGAUAUAACUAUAUGUUAUAACUAUAACAUAACUAUAAAAAUAUAAUAUAUAUAUGUAAACUCCCUAGCGUUCAUGUAGGAUAGGGAUUCUUUUUGUUUUAUGGGUAGCACGACAGGCUGUGUUUGACGGAUGGUGCGAUCUUCCUUUGUUGGACGGACGACUAUUUGAAGAAGCACGUUUUUUCCAAACGAACGGACGGAGAGUUACAUUAGAGAGACAAACAAGGUUACAGAAUAGUUGUUUAAGAUUUGAAAUACUGAAGAUUUAAGAUUAAAGACUGAAGAAGAAAGAUAGGUAGCUCAGGACAUUGAAAAUCGAUUCUCCAUUUUCAGAAUCAAUCCCUGAAUUAUCCAAUUAUUGAACCUUAUAAAUCGAUUUUGCCCACGUCAUGGCGCUGAAAGUUAACCUACGCGUCGUCAUGACCGAGAACGCGAAAGGGGAGAAGAUAGAGAGUAUAGAAUCUAUCAGAAGACCAGAAGACGAAAUGUGCUAUAUUUUCCCUCCCCCCGGAAUAUCAAAAAAGAAAGUACCAUCGACAAUUAUUCAGUUUACCAACAGUGAAAAAGACCGCAAACAGUCUAACCAAGAGGAAGCACAAAUAAACUCCACAAGAAAAAACAAAGACGAAUAUCAAGACACCCAACCUGGACAUGGAAAAACUUCUAGAGACCCUCCAAAGACGAGAUAAGAGGAAAAUAGAGAAAAUAAACUUCAAUAUAGAACAAUUUGAAGGAACUCAAAAAGCCACAAACUGGAUAUCAAAGUAUGACGAGGAAUGCAAAAAAUACAAAAUAAAAAGCAACGAGGAAAAAGUCAAAGGUUUAAGACAGUAUCUAGGAAAAACAGCAGAAAGACGGUACCAAACAAAUCUACUGAAAGCUGAAGGACACAACUGGGAAGAUUGGAAAGUAGCAUUUCUCAAAACCUUUAAGAAUAAAGGUUGGCCAGCAAUAUGAUAUGCUUACAACUUUAAAUAUUUUUCAGGUUCAUUCACAGAAUAUGCAAUAGAGAAAAAACGACUAAUAUUGGAAGUAAAAAGGAAAAUGCCUGAAGAUGUGAGGAUACACCUGAUUGUCAUUGGACUAUCUAUCGAAGACAAAACCAAGACAAAAUCGAAAGAGAAAAUAUACAGACAACAAAUGACCUAAUGGGAAUUUUGGGACAAUAUGAAGACUGCAGAAAAAGGAAAGAAACACAAGAAAGAAAGAUAGACCUGGUUAAAAAGAUCAUAAACCAUUGGAAUCAUUGAGAAUCAAGGCAAGAACUGAUGAAACCUUAGGAGACCUGAUACACUACUUGUCGCAGUACUACUUCAAGAUCAUGCUCCAGGAAAACACAACAUGGAGGCAGACGCACUAUCCAUGAACCCCAUCUUAGAAAGCUUUGAGAAUGAGGAAGAUGUUUUCAAAGUAGCAAAUAUUGUAAAAAAACAAGACAUAAUCCGAGAUCAAAAAGAAAACAGAGAAGAUAUUAAAAAUACAAAAGACCUUAUAAAAAAUCAGAGAUUUUUUUUUUAAAUAUUAAAGGACGCCAACCUAUAUUCAUUUCACAAGAGUUUGGUGAACAUAAAACAUAAGGAAGGUUCAUGAUUUCUUUGGUCACAUUGGAAGAAACCAUAUACUGAAGAAAAUCCGACCCUUUUAUUAUUUCAAAAAGAUGUACCGAAUCGUCGACAAAUUCUGCAAACAUUGCGAAAUUUGCAUCAGAAAUAAAAGCAGAACGAGAAGACCGAUCGGUUUUAUGUCGAAACUAGGACCAGCUAGGAAACCGUUUGGAAUAAUGCCAUUCGAUAUGGAGAUUUUUCCAAUAACAACUCACCAAAGAAAUACAUGCACA